CGCAUAUUGCGCCUAUUAGUAUUCUAGUAGGCAUGCCUGUUCGAGCGUCAUUUCAACCCUCAAGUAUCCUGUUACUUGGUGUUAGGGACCUACACGCCCCGCGUUUUAGGCCCUGAAAACUAUAGGCGAGCUACCCAUAGGCUCCGAGCGCAGUAAAACCCCUCGCUCAGGACGCCCUGCACGUGCUAGCCCACACCCCGUACCUACGAAAAGUUUGACCUCGGAUCAGGUAGGAAUACCCGCUGAACUUAA
Molecule: unclassified non-coding RNA, 252 nt
Filed under: Xylariales sp.
Lineage: Eukaryota; Fungi; Ascomycota; Sordariomycetes; Xylariales
Description: partial contains 5.8S ribosomal RNA, internal transcribed spacer 2, and large subunit ribosomal RNA
Source: RNAcentral